RNAcentral lists this ribosomal RNA (124 nucleotides) under uncultured bacterium. RNAcentral describes it as "partial 16S ribosomal RNA". The record is from RNAcentral.
GCCGGGGUUUCUUUACCAGGUACUGUCAUUAUCAUCCCUGGCGAAAGAGCUUUACGACCCUAGGGCCUUCAUCACUCACGCGGCAUCGCUAGAUCAGGGUUUCCCCCAUUGUCUAAGAUUCCCC